This 539-nucleotide unclassified non-coding RNA is filed under the name Hevea brasiliensis (rubber tree). Lineage: Eukaryota; Viridiplantae; Streptophyta; Magnoliopsida; Malpighiales; Euphorbiaceae. The record is from RNAcentral.
CUUCGAUCAUCACUGUCCAUCCCGAAGUUAUCGAUGGAAGACCGGGGACACUAGUAGUUGAGUCAUUUAUUGUGGAUGUGCCUGAGGGGAACACCAAGGAGGAGACGUGUUUCUUCGUCCAUUCCCUAAUAAACUGCAACCUCAAAUCACUGGCUGAUGUCUCCGAGAGGAUGGCCGUGCUGCAGGAUGCAGUCGAACCGAUUCCUCCAUAUCGGGUAUAGCCAGAACAGGAGUACAACCAGAACAAAGGAAGCGUUUUUAAUAGAUUUUUCUACGUUGCUGCCGAUUUGCCAUCUCAUUGGAGACUCACCCAGUAUCCUCUUCUGAUUUUGUUUUCAUAUAUUUUCUGAAUGUGCUAGGAUGGUGUCUUAUGUUGAUAUUCUUGUUUCAGGAUUGUUCCUUUGGAUUUAUGGAACUCCCCAAAACUGGAAAUGUGGAGUUCUGUUUUGUUUUCAUUGUUAAAUAUGUAUUGUGGUAUAGAGAUGCUUUGAUCAGUGUAUGGAUACUUGAGGUGUUAUGUAUAUAAUAUGAACUUUGAG